This 1555-nucleotide long non-coding RNA is filed under the name Androctonus crassicauda. The record is from RNAcentral. Lineage: Eukaryota; Metazoa; Arthropoda; Arachnida; Scorpiones; Buthidae.
AUUUAUAAGCAUUUUUAUCAUAAAAAAAAGCAUAUAGUGUGUCCACAUUGAAAUUCCAGGAUUUUAACAGUAUGGUUAAAAAUCAAAAUUAUGUUGUACUGUGAUAAUUGUAAUGCCAAUUGGAAGGGAAAGUCAUCAAGUUAUUAGCCUGAUAAUUUUAUUUUUCCUACUACUACAUAUUUCAAGGUGCUGCAGUCAUUGACAUUCAAAAUGCUUCUCCCACAAGAAAAGACUUGUGUUUUUGAUGGUAUGCAGAAUUUAAAUCUGUGGUAGCUAUGCAACAGAAGUUCAGGCAAGGGUACCAUAGAGAUUCUCCAACUGACAAGAUAAGCAUUGGUGUGAUUUGUUUUUUGGGAACUAGCAGUGUUGUAAAGCAGUAUGACAGUAGUCACAAAGUGUUAAAGGAAAAUGGGCAGCACAUUCAGAAGAUAUUUUGCCACACCCCAUGCAAGUCUAUCAGACAGGCAUCAUUGAGCUGUAGCUUCCAAAAUUCACUAUCCAUUAAGUUGAUCAGUGAUUGAUGUUCUAUGCAUACGAAAUCCAGCUACUAAGAGUUGAAAUCUAAUGACAAGCUAUCAGGGUAGCUUUUAUAAAUGCUAUAUUUACUUGUAUUGAUGUGAAACAGAAUUUCCUGUCAUGUUUGUUUCUUUAUGGGACAUUUCACAUAUUAAAAUAUGUGAAUCAUCACAUCUGAAUUUGGGAUUCAGAAAACCCACAUUUCAUUCAAAAAGUAUAUUCAGGAUAGCCUGAAAAUUAAUAUGUGAUGCAGUCUGAUGGAGAUAGGAAUAAUUAGAUCUAUCUUCUUUGCUGAAGCAAUGGUGGCAGGUGUAACUUACCUGGAUAUGUUAGAACAAUUUGCUUUUCCCAUCUUCAGAAGAUCAAUGGUGACCUUUUCUUUCAGCAACACAGCAUUGCUCUACACUAAAAAUUGAAGUUCGUGAAUGCUGGGCAGAAAUUUCCCUGGUUGCUAGAUUGGACAGGAGGACCAAUUUCAUGGCCGUCCAGGUCCCAGACCUAACUCUUCUGGAUUUCUUUUUAUAAGAUUUGUUAAAGACAAAGUUUACAGUGUGAAAAUGUGCAACUUGAAACAUCCCCAUGAAAGAAUCACUGAGGCAAUUGUGUCAGAUUAGAUAUACUCCACAUUUGACAAGAAACUGGGUUCCAGUUCAAUAUUGUCACCAUCACUAAUGGAGCACAUAUGGAAAUUAUGUAAUUUUUUUUGAAAAACUUGGUGAGUUUUCUGGUUUUGUACAUAUUUUACUGUCAUAUCAUGACAGUAAAAUGUGUACAAAACCAGACCAUGAGUAAUAGCUCUGGAGUAAUAGCAAAAAUAAAUCCCAAAGCUUCGAUGUGGACAUCCUGCAUCAUAAUAUAUUAAAAUUUGUAUCAUUGCUACAAUAUAAAAUUUUGUAAAUAUAUUAUUUAAAAGUUAAAAUAUAAUUAAUAAUUGAGACUGCAAAAAAAUAUUGAUUUCAUACUUUUUCAAAAGUUGAAGUUUUAAUUUACAAAUUUUCCAAUGCUAACAGUAAUGAGCAAAUUUUUAUCAAUAAGUUUA